This 253-nucleotide ribosomal RNA is filed under the name uncultured bacterium. Its description in RNAcentral is "partial 16S ribosomal RNA". It matches the Rfam family "Bacterial small subunit ribosomal RNA", at positions 524 to 776 of the family's 1533-position model. The record is from RNAcentral.
UACAGAGGGUGCAAGCGUUAAUCGGAGUUACUGGGCGUAAAGGGUGCGUAGGUGGUUUGGUAAGUUAGAUGUGAAAGCCCCGGGCUUAACCUGGGAAUGGCAUUUAAUACUGCUGAGCUGGAGUAUGGUAGAGGGUAGUGGAAUUUCCGGUGUAGCGGUGAAAUGCGUAGAUAUCGGAAGGAACACCAGUGGCGAAGGCGGCUACCUGGACUAAUACUGACACUGAGGCACGAAAGCGUGGGGAGCGAACAGG